Chelonia mydas (Green sea turtle) is the source of this 187-nucleotide long non-coding RNA. RefSeq lists it as uncharacterized. NCBI's taxonomy places the organism in Eukaryota, Metazoa, Chordata, Testudines, Cheloniidae. The record is from RefSeq and is a predicted model, not a curated record. The transcript is spliced from 3 exons.
AAUAUUUAACUUGACAGAACCCCUGUUAAGGCUGAUUCCCCUCUCUGGCACUUUGAGUGCAGAAGGUGGGGGCCCGCAAGGAUUUUAAAAAUUAAUACUGGUCACUCCAGGCUCGUAUUAAACUCCCAAGUUUACAGCUUUACUGUGACCUUGGAUGGAUAGAUGCUGCCACCACCCAAGUGCAAAA